This is an RNA transcript of Budorcas taxicolor (takin), 789 nucleotides long. It is a transcript of the gene named putative protein T-ENOL, with no coding region annotated. The transcript is spliced from 6 exons. NCBI's taxonomy places the organism in Eukaryota, Metazoa, Chordata, Mammalia, Artiodactyla, Bovidae. The record is from RefSeq and is a predicted model, not a curated record.
AUGCGACCAGCUGGGAAAAUGCCCUCCCCCAUUUGGUUCUAGAAUCCUUAAUUUCCUGGCAACGGGGCUGCGGAACGUCCUCAGACGCCAAGGGGAAUGUCAUCCACUCUUGCCAGGAAUGAGGAGAAAAAGGGCAGCCGGCCAUCCCAACCCACAACCCCUGCAACCUCACUGGGCUGCAAUCUGAAGGUUUCUCGCUCUGAGGAAUUCCUGACACAGAUCAGCACGGAACUCACUGACGAGGCCUUGUUUGUUGCUGCCUACCACAUGAAUCCUGUGCCCAUCAAGGAAAAACAGACACAAGACCGAGGGACUCAGAUAUCCAAACAUGUGUUCUUCACCAAGACCCGAGGCACUGAUACCCGGUGAGUGAGGCUUCACAGGAGAUGCCCCUUUGUCCUGGGAGAAAGAUGAGGAGCCUGUAGAGGAGAGAGCCAGGGUUUGACAACAUCCCAGCAGGCUCCGACAGAAACCGUACCUGCACAAAGGCACAUCUCCUGCCAUCCCCUCGCAAGAAGGGAGCUCUCCCUAGCAACUUGACGUCUGGAGAAUGAUCCCAACUUUGGUGCUGCUCUUGGCCUCUCUUGCCCUCCCCUCACUCUGUCUCUCUGCAACAUGUCAAAGCUCCUCUUUCACUGCUCAUUCAACAGUUCGGUUCGGGGGGCAUUCCUGGUCGUUAGCAACAUCACCCCUGAAGCCUCCAAAGUGUUCCGGAACCAUCACACACCUUGCCACCCUCAACUGGCAAGGACACCCCCAGCAAUGAAAAGCUUUAAUAAAGAGACAGAG